Molecule: long non-coding RNA, 778 nt
Organism: Daphnia magna
Lineage: Eukaryota; Metazoa; Arthropoda; Branchiopoda; Diplostraca; Daphniidae
Exons: 2
Source: RefSeq, a predicted model, not a curated record
AUAUAAUGAGAGGACAAAGGUGUUUCAAUUCAAUGUUGUAAGCAAUUUGGACACGACAACAGCAGUACGACAUUUUUCAUUGGUGUUAUUUCACAUCGUGUUUUCCCAGCUUUGCAGUUAUGAGUAAUUGGACGUUUUAUUUUAACAUUUGAUCGUAGGAAUCAAACCUGUGAUCAGUUUUGAUUUUAACCAAUUCAAUUGAAUUUGUGCCUACCUGCAUGGCAUUCAAAAGGAUUAGUUUUUUAAGCCCUCAAAUAAUAAUCGGCCCCAAGUUACUACACAGAGGCACUGGUGUACUAAACUACGACAUACGCUACACCAAGUUAUUCCAGCGAAGCCCCGAAGUACUAUAUGCUGCUCCCAGCUACACCCCUUACUGUUGUCUACUACACCGCAACAGAAGCAAACAAGUAUUACGUAGCUCCGUCUUAUUACACCACAGCUGCUCCAUCUUACUACACCGAGCCCAACUACUACACAACAACCUCGUCACCCCUGCAUUCUACACUGAGGCCCCAAAAUAUUACUCGCCUCCAAGUUACUACACUGAAGCCUACACCUCAUACGCCAAGCCAGACAACUACACCAAUGCUCCACAAAACUAUGCUACUGCCUCUUAUUAUACAACUAAGGCCCGGAGUACUACGCUAUAGAGAAGGCCGAGUACUACACCACUACCUAUGCUGCUCCAGCGCACUACACUGAAGUUCCAAAUUAUACAAUAGACGUUUUUAGUAGACUAUCACGGCGUGCUGAUGUCAUGCUGUUUGCAACAAAC